This 253-nucleotide ribosomal RNA is filed under the name uncultured bacterium. RNAcentral's name for it is "partial 16S ribosomal RNA". It matches the Rfam family "Bacterial small subunit ribosomal RNA", at positions 524 to 776 of the family's 1533-position model. The record is from RNAcentral.
UACGGAGGGUGCGAGCGUUGUCCGGAAUCAUUGGGCGUAAGGGGCGCGUAGGUGGCCUGCUAAGCGUGCGGUGAAAGCUCGGGGCUCAACCCCGAGUCGGCCGUGCGAACUGGUGGGCUUGAGCACUGUAGAGGCAGGCGGAAUUCCGGGUGUAGCGGUGGAAUGCGUAGAGAUCCGGAAGAACACCGGUGGCGAAGGCGGCCUGCUGGGCAGUAGCUGACACUGAGGCGCGACAGCGUGGGGAGCAAACAGG